GACGAACCGUGCGAACGUUGUUCGGAAUCACUGGGCUUAAAGGGCGCGUAGGCGGGUUCGCAAGUCUGUGGUGAAAGCCUCCAGCUUAACUGGAGAAGUGCCGUGGAUACUGCGAAUCUUGAGGAGGGUAGGGGCGUCUGGAACGGUCGGUGGAGCGGUGAAAUGCGUUGAUAUCGACCGGAACUCCGGUGGCGAAGGCGAGGCGCUGGACCCUUUCUGACGCUGAGGCGCGAAAGCCAGGGGAGCAAACGGG
This 253-nucleotide ribosomal RNA is filed under the name uncultured bacterium. RNAcentral's name for it is "partial 16S ribosomal RNA". It matches the Rfam family "Bacterial small subunit ribosomal RNA", at positions 524 to 776 of the family's 1533-position model. The record is from RNAcentral.